CCUACGGGAGGCAGCAGUGAGGAAUAUUGGUCAAUGGACGAGAGUCUGAACCAGCCAAGUAGCGUGAAGGAUGACUGCCCUAUGGGUUGUAAACUUCUUUUAUAUGGGAAUAAAAUGUUCCACGUGUGGGAUUUUGUAUGUACCAUAUGAAUAAGGAUCGGCUAACUCCGUGCCAGCAGCCGCGGUAAUCCGGAGGAUCCGAGUGUUAUCCGGAUUGAUUGGGUUUAAAGGGAGCGUAGGUGGAUUGUUAAGUCAGUUGUGAAAGUUUGCGGCUCAACCGUAAAAUUGCAGUUGAUACUGGCAGUCUUGAGUACAGUAGAGGUGGGCGGAAUGCGUGGUGUAGCGGUGAAAUGCUUAGAUAUCACGAAGAACUCCGAUUGCGAAGGCAGCUCACUGGACUGCAACUGACACUGAGGCUCGAAAGUGUGGGUAUCAAACAGGAUUAGAUACCCGUGUAGUC
RNAcentral lists this ribosomal RNA (460 nucleotides) under uncultured bacterium. RNAcentral's name for it is "partial 16S ribosomal RNA". It matches the Rfam family "Bacterial small subunit ribosomal RNA", at positions 338 to 795 of the family's 1533-position model. The record is from RNAcentral.